GACGCAAAAACGCACUCCGAACUGGAUAAUACAGCACGAUAGCGAAGCAGAGGCCUUCCAACGCCUCCUCCCUCGCCGCUCUCCCUUCCUUCCGCUCUCAUCCCCUCCCCCUCCCGUCGCCAUGGCCGUCUCCACCUCCACCUCCACGCUCCCACUCCUCUUCCUCCACCGCUCCACCGCAAGCCCGAACCCCUCGGCGCUCUCCUUCGCCUCCUCCCUCCGCGCGUCCCCGCUGCGCUCCCGCGCCUCCGCCUCCGCCGCCCCGCCAGCCGAGACCCUCGCCGACGACCUGCCCUCCGACACGCCCCCGG
This 311-nucleotide long non-coding RNA is filed under the name Triticum aestivum (bread wheat). Its description in RNAcentral is "long non-coding RNA (TAES_LNC003587)". Lineage: Eukaryota; Viridiplantae; Streptophyta; Magnoliopsida; Poales; Poaceae. The record is from RNAcentral.